CCCAUUUGGUACAAUUUUUACACAUUUAUUCUAAUAUAGAAAAUACUCACGUGAGGAUUUCAAAUUAAUGUUGAUAUUUUAAUAAGACAACCUUCAGUACUUCCAACUGCACGAGGAAAAAAUAAAUAGUACGCGAUAGCUAUUUAUAGAUCGGCUUUUUUCGUGUUACGUAACUUCCGGUCUGGAGCAUGCAGAAAGGACCCCAUUUGGUACAAAGUGGUGAGACAUCGAUUUAUUCGGUUAUUUCCAAAGAUGUGAUCAAUAAUGUGAGUGAUUUCGAUGGGCACAUUUGACAACACCAGGAUGAAUCUGAUGCCUUCCUCAUUUCAAAUGUGCGGUACACUCUGGGUGGUAAACAAAAAGCAUGAUAGGACUUCUUACAGAAGUAGCAUGUCGCCCAAUAUAUUUCUUCUUCUAUUGGAGAAACAUAUUGGUGAUCCAUGCAUACUUGACAUAUCAGCAUGGCAUGUCCGUCUGGGGUUGUACUAUCCUGGUCAAGAUGUGUUGGAAAUGGCUCAAUAUCUGACUGAACACUAGUACUGUGACUAGUGUCCUGACUAAGAGCUGGGAAUGGCUCAACAUCAACAUUCAUGCUGGGAUCAAAGCAAUAACUACAAAGCCAGUCUGAAGACACUAGCAAACUUAAAUCUACAUGAGUUUGCUCUUCAUGAUUGAGGCAGUCCCGAUGAAACCACCGGCCACAUUCUGGACCAUCACAUCCAACCCAUAGGAUCCCUUCUUCCUCAUCAUUACAUCGACCCCUGAUGUUGCAAAUUUUGCAGGCCCAAUAAUUGGCACGAAUAUAUCGGCGAGCUCCUUUGGAAUGAGUCCCUCUGUGACUAAGGGAUGUCCAUGUACAAAUUGUCCACAUCCAUCACAGAGUGGGUGCAAAUCCAGAUUGUCUCCCCCUGGUCCAGGCUUGGGAAAGGUAUAGCUUCUGUCGACAGGAGUCAAUCUGGAGGUGUCAAUAGCAUUUGGGUUUAAAGGGACAAUACCACAUUUCCUGAAGGCAGUUUUGACAUGGUGAGGACUAAAAGUCCUGUCAAUAGCUGCUCUGAGAAUCUGGGCAAACCUGUAAAUGAGACAAAAUGAGGUUACCUGCCCUUUCCAAUGAUCAAAUUUGGGUUGGCAUAGCCCAAAUUGACUGCCAAAUCUGAAACUGUCUUCUUGAGUGGUCUAAAAAGUGCAACAUCUAGAGGCUGGAGUAGGUGUGUGGUGUGGGGUGGCAAGCCUAUCAGCUCCACUCUGUUUUCCCUGGCCAUUUCUAUGGUGUCCAGCGAAAGAUGACUCUCAUGGUUGUCGAGGAUCAGUAAUAGUGGCCGUUCUUUCGAUGCAUGUUGGAGAAAAAUACGCUCAAACCAUUUUUUGAAUAAUGCUGCAUCCAUGUAGCCAUUCGGAGAGGUUCCAAAAAGCCAUUCCUCUGGAAAGGACUUUUCAAAAAUUAUGAAAGAAGGCAGCACCUUUCCAUCUGCAGAAACACACACUGCAGCUGUGGUGUGGUUGGUAGUGGAAACCUGUCUUGUAUAGGCUCCUCGGUUGGUGACACAGACCUUGUCCUGGGCUACAACCCCUUUCCCAAAGCCAGUUUCGUCCAUGUUGUAAACCAGGUUUGGUUUAUCGGCUAGUCCUGAAUUAAAUGUUAUGGGUUUUUUUUAUAAGUAAAUGACAUGGCAUUUAUUAUAUAUACCUGUUCACGAGGCACAAGUGCAGAUAAAUGCAUAACCAAUAAAUAUGUCGCAUAUUGAUUUUUAAUGCUAUGAGAAUUUAUUGAUUAAAGGGAGAUGAUAAGAUUUACUUUUAUUUGAUACAUGUACUCCCUACAGAACGUUACUAUUAUUUUGUAAUUUUUUAAUAAUAUAGGAUAUUAUCAGUUAUUGAAAAACUGAAUUAGGAUCAGUCCUAAAGUCAUUUUCAAAACUCUAAUGAAAUGUUACAAUUUAAUUUCAGACAGAAGAUUAAUGCCUUACCAAGUUUGUCAACAGUGUCCUUUAGCAGAGAGAAAUACUGAGACAUCACAGUUUUAUUUGCCAUCCUGACACGACCACCAUCUAUGGUCUGUGGUUUCCUCAUGUGAAGGUCUCGAUGUCUGCCUAGAAAUCUUUUUAUCCACUUGUCGGAGGGACCAUUCUCACCGAUAGGGCUUGGCCUCCCUGACCUUUGCACAAGUUUCAGUACAAACAUCUUUAUCAUUUUCCUCGUGAGACCUUUCUUGACAAUACUUGAUGUAUGUUACAAGAUACUUUUCUUCAUCAGAAGAAAUUACUCGGACAGGCUGACCUCCCUUGUUAAGACCUUGUGCAUGCCUCUUUAACGUCAUGUGUGGUACAUUGUAGUUUGAAGCUGCACGUCUUAUUGGUAUCCCUUUUUUUACAUCCUGUAGAGCUUGUUUAAAAUUUGCGGUUUCAUAUUUCCUGUAUUUAGCUGUGAAUGAUAAAUGUGAAAUAAAUAUAUUUUUGUUUA
Molecule: long non-coding RNA, 2460 nt
Organism: Pecten maximus
Lineage: Eukaryota; Metazoa; Mollusca; Bivalvia; Pectinida; Pectinidae
Exons: 5
Source: RefSeq, a predicted model, not a curated record